AAAAAAUAUACUUUCUCUCUUCAGGAUUGCGGGAGAUCCUACCUGCAUUGGACGUAUCUACAAGUACACAGGAGGAUGAAACACGCCAACGACUUCUUGUAUAAAUGUAACCACUGCGAUCUGACCUUUCCUAACAGUUGGAGCCUGGCAUACCACAGGAAGAAAAUCCACGGACAAACGGGACAAGGUGAUGCCAAUUCUACGACCAAAAUACCCAGAGAAGAUUACAGGAUACCUUGUCGUGAUUGCGAUGAGGUGCUGCCAAACAAAACUGCACUUUAUAAACACAGGAAGAAGGAACACAGUGACAUGACCUCGUCACUGGCUGCCAAUAAUGAAC
Long non-coding RNA from Ostrinia nubilalis (European corn borer), 340 nucleotides. RefSeq lists it as uncharacterized. The transcript is spliced from 3 exons. The record is from RefSeq and is a predicted model, not a curated record. Lineage: Eukaryota; Metazoa; Arthropoda; Insecta; Lepidoptera; Crambidae.